Molecule: ribosomal RNA, 355 nt
Filed under: Lichtheimia sp. AS
Lineage: Eukaryota; Fungi; Mucoromycota; Mucoromycetes; Mucorales; Lichtheimiaceae
Description: eukaryotic LSU rRNA
Rfam family: 5.8S ribosomal RNA (bases 1-124)
Source: RNAcentral
CAUCGAUGAAGAGCGUAGCAAAGUGCGAUAAUUAUUGCGACUUGCAUUCAUAGCGAAUCAUCGAGUUCUCGAACGCAUCUUGCGCCUAGUAGUCAAUCUACUAGGCACAGUUGUUUCAGUAUCUGCAACUACCAAUCAGUUCAACUUGGUUCUUUGAAUCUAAGCGAACUGGAAAUGGGCUUGUGUUGAUGGCAUUCAGUUGCUGUCAUGGCCUUAAAUACAUUUAGUCCUAGGCAAUUGGCUUUAGUCAUUUUGCCGGAUGUAGACUCUAGAGUGCCUGAGGAGCAACGACUUGGUUAGUGAGUUCAUAAUUCCAAGUCAAUCAGUCUUCUCUUGAACUAGGUCUUAAUCUUUA